GCGGGGGUCGCAUAGCAUGGCCGAUUGCGCCGGGCUUAGGACCCGGUUCCGAAGGGAUUCGUCGAUUCAAAUUCGACCCCCCGCACCA
This 88-nucleotide transfer RNA is filed under the name Marine Group III euryarchaeote CG-Bathy2. Its description in RNAcentral is "tRNA-Leu". It matches the Rfam family "tRNA". From Rfam's summary of the family: Transfer RNA (tRNA) molecules are approximately 80 nucleotides in length. Their secondary structure includes four short double-helical elements and three loops (D, anti-codon, and T loops). RNAcentral also lists the same sequence under 4 other names. Lineage: Archaea; Methanobacteriati; Thermoplasmatota; Thermoplasmata; Candidatus Thermoprofundales. The record is from RNAcentral.